GGAAAGGCGCGCGAUACAGGGUGACAGCCCCGUACACAAAAAUGCACAUGCUGUGAGCUCGAUGAGUAGGGCGGGACACGUGGUAUCCUGUCUGAAUAUGGGGGGACCAUCCUCCAAGGCUAAAUACUCCUGACUGACCGAUAGUGAACCAGUACCGUGAGGGAAAGGCGAAAAGAACCCCGGCGAGGGGAGUGAAAAAGAACCUGAAACCGUGUACGUACAAGCAGUGGGAGCUCGCUUAGGCGUGUGACUGCGUACCUUUUGUAUAAUGGGUCAGCGACUUAUAUUCUGUAGCAAGGUUAACCGAAUAGGGGAGCCGAAGGGAAACCGAGUCUUAACUGGGCGUUAAGUUGCAGGGUAUAGACCCGAAACCCGGUGAUCUAGCCAUGGGCAGGUUGAAGGUUGGGUAACACUAACUGGAGGACCGAACCGACUAAUGUUGAAAAAUUAGCGGAUGACUUGUGGCUGGGGGUGAAAGGCCAAUCAAACCGGGAGAUAGCUGGUUCUCCCCGAAAGCUAUUUAGGUAGCGCCUCGUGAAUUCAUCUCCGGGGGUAGAGCACUGUUUCGGCAAGGGGGUCAUCCCGACUUACCAACCCGAUGCAAACUGCGAAUACCGGAGAAUGUUAUCACGGGAGACACACGGCGGGUGCUAACGUCCGUCGUGAAGAGGGAAACAACCCAGACCGCCAGCUAAGGUCCCAAAGUCAUGGUUAAGUGGGAAACGAUGUGGGAAGGCCCAGACAGCCAGGAUGUUGGCUUAGAAGCAGCCAUCAUUUAAAGAAAGCGUAAUAGCUCACUGGUCGAGUCGGCCUGCGCGGAA
RNAcentral lists this ribosomal RNA (821 nucleotides) under Escherichia coli. RNAcentral's name for it is "partial 23S ribosomal RNA". It matches the Rfam family "Bacterial large subunit ribosomal RNA", at positions 344 to 1168 of the family's 2925-position model. Lineage: Bacteria; Pseudomonadati; Pseudomonadota; Gammaproteobacteria; Enterobacterales; Enterobacteriaceae. The record is from RNAcentral.